RNAcentral lists this long non-coding RNA (1212 nucleotides) under Callithrix jacchus (white-tufted-ear marmoset). RNAcentral describes it as "lncRNA (ENSCJAG00000070504.1)". Lineage: Eukaryota; Metazoa; Chordata; Mammalia; Primates; Cebidae. The record is from RNAcentral.
AUGAUUGACAUGGGGCACAGGGCCGGAGGAAAAACACCACAGACUUACAUGAGGUUUGUAUUGUCUUUAAUUAGAUUCAAAACUCACAGGAAACCCUGCUGCUUAAGAGAGAAAGGAAGGAAAAGACCCCUGAACGGGAGGAGCAAGGUGGUGAAAGCAUAAAGAAAAGCAAACCAUUAACACAAAUAUAAGAAUAAUAGUUACUUCUGGGAAGAAGAAAGGGGAAUCACAGAAGGCUUCUAAGAGACUGAUAAUGUUCAGCAGAAAUACCUUUAUCUAACAAGUGGCUUCAUACAAGGUAUUCAUUUUAAUAUUGUUCUUUGGGCCAUACAUCAUGUCUUAUAGAUCUUUUCUGCAUAUGAUGUCUUUUACAAUAAAAUGUUUAAUAUGACUGUUUAAUUAGACACAUUAAAAGCAUUUGAUUUUUAAAAAAUACUUUUAGCAAGCUAUAGAAGAAAUCUUCCUUUGAAUGAUGGCUAUUGAGUAGAAACCUACAGCAAGCAUCACACCUAAGAGCAGAGCAUGAAAAGCAUCCCUACGAGGGUCAAGAAAAGUGCAAGGAUGAACUGUUGUUGCUAGUCUUCAUCCUAGAUGGUAGGCAUAUAUUUCUAACGAAUUUGAAUACAUUUAUGUAUUAUGUACUAAUGAGUAGUUGGUACUUACUACAUUUAUCAUAUUCACAUAAGGUAGACUGACAUUCUUGUCACGAUGUAACUUUGUCUUAUUCUCAGAAACAAUUAUACAUUUGUAGUCCUGACUUCCUUUAAUAAUGAAUUAAUUAAUCCCAGCACUUUGGGAGGCCAAGGCAGAUGGAUUACCUGAGGUCAGGAGUUCAAGACUAGGCUGGCCUACAUAGUGAAACCCCAUCUCUACUAAAAAUACAAAAAUCACCUGGGCGUCAUGGUGAGCACCUGUAAUCCCAGCUGCUCAGGAGGCUAAGGCAGGAGAAUUCCUUCAACCUGGGAGACCAAGGUUGCAGUGAGCCGAAAUUGCACCACUGCACUCCAGCCUUGGUAAGAGAGCUUGACUCCAACUCAAAAAUAAUAAUAAUGAUGAAUUAAUUUUCCCAACAAUAUUAAUUGUUUCCAACUAAACUUGUGUGGAAUUGUAAUUCUAUUUCUCUCCUUCUUUUGAUCAUGGGUCAUUUUUUAGACAGUCACAUCUCCAGAAGAUAGAACAAUGAGGCAAUCUGGUCUAGUGAAAAGUCUGUAG